RNAcentral lists this small RNA (336 nucleotides) under Lelliottia amnigena. RNAcentral's name for it is "isrL Hfq binding RNA". Lineage: Bacteria; Pseudomonadati; Pseudomonadota; Gammaproteobacteria; Enterobacterales; Enterobacteriaceae. The record is from RNAcentral.
GGCGAUAUCGACGACUUCCGAUUGUUCAUACAGUUUGCCAACGGCUUCACUGAUGGUUGGAUGCCAGUUAACCGCGCGGUUGACGGCAUCGCCAAGCUUGAGCGUACCCGGCGCCGCUUUGCCGGGUACGGGGGCGAUCCGGCCAUUCAGUGAGGGUAAUUCCUGUUCUUCGCUGAGCACGCCGGGAUUGAUGACCGACGCUGGAUUUGCCGCGAGAACAGGGACAGAUAUCAGGCAGCACGAGAGCCACCAGUAAGGCAUCUUUAUUCCCAUUCUUUGUCCCUAAUAAAAAAAAUGCUGCCUAAUGCCUGCGCCCGGGCGCUGAACGCCCGGGUC